AAUCGGAGCAGCCGAGGCCCAAAUUUGCCGUAUAAGGCAAUACAACAAACAAGCACGCCUCUGUAGCUUUAAGGUCAACACCCCAGUCAACUUUAGCAAAACAAACUCUGUCUGCCUGUGAUGUUUCCUGUCUUUGAGGAACACCCAUGUAAUUAGACUUGUUCAAUUGGAUGCCUUAUGCAAGGAGCCACUGCUGGAACACAGGUGGCGUUAUGGAGUGGAUUUCAUCAUAAACAUUCUGGUUACGUGCGCCUCAGAAGUCAAACCAAAAUUGUGGAGAUAAAAGCCUCACGCAGGAUCGCAAACAGGUGUUUGCGGGCCAGGUAAAAUGAUGUGCUGGAACACAGGUGCAGACAAAGAGGACAAGUCUCACCUGGAGACCAGGCUGCUUGUCAGGACGUGGAGACGUGUCUUUGUCCAGCAGCACCACCAUGCAGUGCACCGCAUGCAGGGCCUGCUCCUGCGAACUAGUUCAGUGUGGUUUAGCUUCCACCUGGGCCAUGAGCAGAGCCGUGUAGAGAUGAGGCGGGGGGGCCUUCUUCCUGGCAUCGAUGACCAGAGUCAGUCCCAGCUCGCGUACAUCUUUCCUGGGGAGACAACCAGUCAGGUGAGAGCUCACUCAAACACUCUUCAUGCGUUCAUCAAGUCACCACACGAGUCGUGCAAUAAUACAGUAAUACACCCAAAAAUCUACACUUGUUAAUUUGCGGUAAAAAAACAACAACAAACGAACUGGGAGCUCAGGCGCCAAAUGUUACUGUAAAAUUGCAGGUUUUUUUUACUUUAAGUUUGGAACAUUUCGUGUUAAUGUUCAUAAAAACUGGGAAUUCUAGGAAAUCCAGUUUUUUUUUUUUAAUUCUUGAACAUUUCUGAACAGGCUGAAUAUUUUAAAAAUGGAACGGUUGGAAUCAGAUAAAAAAAAAUGUGGGAGUUAUGGAACUUUGAAAAAUGGGGACCUCUUUUCAAUGGGAAUUUCAUGGAAAUUUGGGAAUUUCUGGAAUUUUUAUUUUUUUUAUUUUUUUCGGAAAAUGCAAAAAUAUUUGAAUGUUCUGAAUGAGUUGAAAUGGUUGGUGUUGGAAUUUUUCAAAUCGGUCGAGAAAUGUUGAAAUAGAAACAUUUUGAAUUGAGAAAUGGGGUAACGGAAUUCCUAUAAUUUCGGGAAAACCGGGGAAUGUUUCCAGUUCAAAAACAAUUUUGUUUUUUGUUCUGAUUAAGAGGAAUGUUUGGGCGGUUGAACGGUUGAAGUGGGUUGAAAAAUGUGGAACGAGUAGUCGACAGAAAAAAGGGUGAAAAUAGGGCAUUUUGGGAAUUCCUGGAAUUUUUUUUCAACUUGGAAAAAAGGGAAGUUUGAAUGUCCAGUGUGAGUGGAAUGUGUUGAAGGUGGAAUAGUUUGAAUAGGUUGAAAAAUGUGGAAAUGGUGGAAGUGUGAAAAAUGCCCAAUUCAUUUUGAAUAGGAAAAAUGUCCAGGGAAAAACCUGGAAUUCUGUGGAAUCUGUGGAAUUUGUCGAGGGAAAUGCCGCGAUUCCCGAAUAGGCCGAACAGUUUGAAGUUGGAAUGGUUUGAAUCAGAUAAAAAAAUGUGGGAGUUGUGGAACUUUGAAAAAUGUUCCAUUCUUUUCAGUGGGAAUUUCAUGGAAAUUUGGGAAUUUGGGAAAAUAAGGAUUUUUUUUGGGAAAAUGCAAAAAUAUUUGAAUGUUCUUAAUGAGUUGAAAUGGUUGGUGUUGGAAUUUUUCAAAUCGAUCGAGAAAUGUUGAAGUAGUGACAUUUUGAAUUGAGAAAUGGUAUAAGGGAAUUCCUAUAAUUUCGGGAAAACCGGGAAUUUUCCCAGUUCAAAAAACAACUUUGUUUUUGUUCUGAUUAAGAGGAAUGUUUGGACGGUGGAACGGUUGAAGUGGGUUGAAAAAUGUGUUAGGAGUAGUCGACAGAAAAAAGGGUGAAAAUAGGGCAUUCUGGGAAUUCCUGGAAUUUUUUUUAACUUGGAAAAAGGAAAGUUUGAAUGUCUGGUAAGAGUGAAAUAUGUUGAAGGUGGAAUGGUUAGAAUCGGUUGAAAAAUGUGGAAAUGGCGGAAGUGUGAAAAAUGGCCAAUUCAUUUUGAAUGGGAAAAAUGUCCCGGAAAACCUGGAAUUCUGGGACAUCUGGGAAUUUUGGGAAUCUGUCAAGGGAAAUGCGGCGAUUCCCGAAUAGGCUGAACAGUUUGAAGUUGGAACGGUUUAAAUCAGAUAAAUCACUUAGCGUCUAACAAUCUCUGUGAACCUUUUCAAUCCGGUUUCAGGGCAAAUCACUGAAACCGCAACAGCCCUCGCAAAAAUGACUAAUGAUCUAUUGCUAACGAUGGAUUCUGAUGCUUCAUCUAUGUUGCUGCUUCUUGAUCUUAGCGCCGCUUUCGAUACUGUUGAUCAUAAUAUUUUAUUAGAGCGUAUCAAAACGCGUAUUGGGAUGUCAGACUUAGCCUGGUCUUGGUUUAACUCUUAUCUUACUGACAGGAUGCAGUGUGUCUCCCAUAAC
Long non-coding RNA from Entelurus aequoreus (snake pipefish), 2504 nucleotides. RefSeq lists it as uncharacterized. The transcript is spliced from 3 exons. The record is from RefSeq and is a predicted model, not a curated record. Lineage: Eukaryota; Metazoa; Chordata; Actinopteri; Syngnathiformes; Syngnathidae.